GAGGGUAUAGCUCAGUGGUAGAGGGCAUGCUUAGCAUGCAUGAGGUCCUGGGUUCAAUCUCCAGCAUCUCA
Molecule: transfer RNA, 71 nt
Filed under: Camelus ferus (Wild Bactrian camel)
Lineage: Eukaryota; Metazoa; Chordata; Mammalia; Artiodactyla; Camelidae
Rfam family: tRNA
About the family: Transfer RNA (tRNA) molecules are approximately 80 nucleotides in length. Their secondary structure includes four short double-helical elements and three loops (D, anti-codon, and T loops).
Source: Rfam by way of RNAcentral